UUUAAAGGAUAUAAGAUUAAUCCAUUGGUUUUAGGCACCAAAAAUCUUGGUGCAAA
RNAcentral lists this transfer RNA (56 nucleotides) under Iguana delicatissima. RNAcentral describes it as "partial tRNA-Leu". The record is from RNAcentral. Lineage: Eukaryota; Metazoa; Chordata; Lepidosauria; Squamata; Iguanidae.